ACGAGUUUGAUCCUGGCUCAGAACGAACGCUGGCGGCAGGCCUAACACAUGCAAGUCGAACGAUAUAGUGGCAGACGGGUGAGUAACGCGUGGGAACGUACCUUUCACUACGGAAUAGCUCUGGGAAACUGGUGGUAAUACCGUAUACGCCCUUCGGGGGAAAGAUUUAUCGGUGAAAGAUCGGCCCGCGUUAGAUUAGGUAGUUGGUGGGGUAAUGGCCUACCAAGCCUACGAUCUAUAGCUGGUCUGAGAGGAUGAUCAGCCACACUGGGACUGAGACACGGCCCAGACUCCUACGGGAGGCAGCAGUGGGGAAUCUUGCACAAUGGGCGAAAGCCUGAUGCAGCCAUGCCGCGUGAAUGAUGAAGGCCUUAGGGUUGUAAAAUUCUUUCGCUAGGGAUGAUAAUGACAGUACCUAGUAAAGAAGCCCCGGCUAACUUCGUG
This 444-nucleotide ribosomal RNA is filed under the name uncultured bacterium. RNAcentral describes it as "bacterial SSU rRNA". It matches the Rfam family "Bacterial small subunit ribosomal RNA", at positions 1 to 507 of the family's 1533-position model. The record is from RNAcentral.